CUACGUAGGGGGCGAGCGUUGUCCGGAAUGAUUGGGCGUAAAGGGCGCGUAGGCGGCUUUGCAAGUCAGUAGUGGAAGUCCAUUUUUCAAGGAUGGAAGUGCUACAGAAACUGCGGAGCUUGAGUGCAGGAGAGGUUAUCGGAAUUCCCGGUGUAGCGGUGAAAUGCGUAGAGAUCGGGAGGAACACCAGUGGCGAAGGCGGGUAACUGGACUGCAACUGACGCUGAGGCGCGAAAGUGUGGGGAGCAAACAGGAUUAGAUACCCUGGUAGUCCACACUUUAAACGAUGAAUGCUAGGUGUAGGAGGUAUCGGCCCCUUCUGUGCCGCAGUAAACACAGUAAGCAUUCCGCCUGGGGAGUACGGUCGCAAGAUUAAAACUCAAAUGAAUUGACGGGG
Molecule: ribosomal RNA, 397 nt
Filed under: uncultured bacterium
Lineage: Bacteria
Description: partial 16S ribosomal RNA
Rfam family: Bacterial small subunit ribosomal RNA
Source: RNAcentral